Molecule: long non-coding RNA, 251 nt
Filed under: Carica papaya (papaya)
Lineage: Eukaryota; Viridiplantae; Streptophyta; Magnoliopsida; Brassicales; Caricaceae
Description: long non-coding RNA (CPAP_LNC014313)
Source: RNAcentral
UCCCGCCGAAGUCCGGCGGCGCCGCCAAAGCUUCCCUCUAUUUUUGCCUCCAAUGAAGCCCUUCCCGGUCUCCGUUCGAUGCAAUUUUUAUACCACCGUGAUCACCGUUCUUUUCUCUAUAGGUUGACCGGAGUAAAACAUCAAAACGUGACUCACGCCGGAGAAGCCGCCGCACCCGAGAGCACGGCCACCGGUAAGUCUCGAUUUUUCAGAAUUUUUUAGCCCAACAAGGGCCCUAGGGUUGUUUUAUC